Molecule: ribosomal RNA, 253 nt
Filed under: uncultured bacterium
Lineage: Bacteria
Description: partial 16S ribosomal RNA
Rfam family: Bacterial small subunit ribosomal RNA
Source: RNAcentral
UACGUAGGGAGCAAGCGUUGUCCGGAAUCAUUGGGCGUAAAGCGCACGUAGGCGGCUUCUUAAGUCAGGGGUGAAAUCCUGGAGCUCAACUCCAGAACUGCCUUUGAUACUGAGGAGCUUGAGUCCGGGAGAGGUGAGUGGAACUGCGAGUGUAGAGGUGAAAUUCGUAGAUAUUCGCAAGAACACCAGUGGCGAAGGCGGCUCACUGGCCCGGUACUGACGCUGAGGUGCGAAAGCGUGGGGAGCAAACAGG